This 448-nucleotide long non-coding RNA is filed under the name Physcomitrium patens. Its description in RNAcentral is "long non-coding RNA (PPAT_LNC006108)". Lineage: Eukaryota; Viridiplantae; Streptophyta; Bryopsida; Funariales; Funariaceae. The record is from RNAcentral.
AGUGAUUUAGUUAUUAAAAGUGGUUAAUUAUAGAAUUAUGGUUAGAAUCUGGAGAAUCACGGGAAAGUAUAUAAGAGUUGUAGAAGUUAAUUAAGAUGCCAGAGUGUGAGAGUCGUAAGCCGAGGGCCAUCACUGUGAUAGUGUGAGCUGAGGUAAGCUUGGUGCUAUCUCUUUUCUUUUGUUUUUUAUUUUCUUUGAAUAAGAGGAUUGAGAGUUUCUGAAUAUUGUAAAGUGAAUUAUGGAAUGGAAAUGUGAUUGGUAUUAUUUGAGAAGAAAAAAGAUUAAAUGCUGAAAUCUGGUUGUAGUUCAGUAGAGAGAAUGAGUCUGUAUUUGUGUGAAACACUGUAAUAUGAAUGGUAGUUCUGUGUGAAGAAUUCCAGUGAUUGGAACGAGGAUAAUUGUGUGCUGAAAGCUGUGAGGGUGCAGUAUUAUAGUUGAAGAUUGUGAG